UUCGCAAUGCCCGAAAGGGUGAACGAGCGACGCCGCGUGCGGGAUGAAGGCCUUCGGGUUGUAAACCGCUUUUGCAAGGGAAAAACUUAAUGAUGGUACCUUGCGAAUAAGAGGUUACUAACUCUGUGCCAGCAGUAGCGGUAAUACAGAGGUGGCGAGCGUUGUUCGGAAUCGCUGGGCAUAAAGCGCACGUAGGCGGCGACGUAAGUUGGGUGUGAAAUCCCCCGGCCCAACCGGGGAACUGCGCCCAGUACUGCGUUGCUUGAGGAUCCAAGGGGUGCAUGGAAUUCCCGGUGGAGCGGUGAAAUGCGUUGAUAUCGGGAGGAACUCCGGCGGCGAAAGCGGUGCACUGGUGGAUUACUGACGCUGAGGUGCGAAAGCCAGGGGAGCAAACGGGAUUAGAUACCCCGGUAGUCCUGGCCGUAAACGAUGGGCACUAAGUAGAGGGGUUUU
This 453-nucleotide ribosomal RNA is filed under the name uncultured bacterium. RNAcentral's name for it is "bacterial SSU rRNA". It matches the Rfam family "Bacterial small subunit ribosomal RNA", at positions 364 to 832 of the family's 1533-position model. The record is from RNAcentral.